UGGGGAAUAUUGCACAAUGGGGGAAACCCUGAUGCAGCCAUGCCGCGUGUGUGAAGAAGGCCUUCGGGUUGUAAAGCACUUUCAGUAGGGAGGAAAGGGUGUAGUUUAAUACGCUAUAUCUGUGACGUUACCUACAGAAGAAGGACCGGCUAACUCCGUGCCAGCAGCCGCGGUAAUACGGAGGGUCCGAGCGUUAAUCGGAAUUACUGGGCGUAAAGCGUGCGCAGGCGGUUUGUUAAGCGAGAUGUGAAAGCCCUGGGCUCAACCUAGGAAUAGCAUUUCGAACUGGCGAACUAGAGUCUUGUAGAGGGGGGUAGAAUUCCAGGUGUAGCGGUGAAAUGCGUAGAGAUCUGGAGGAAUACCGGUGGCGAAGGCGGCCCCCUGGACAAAGACUGACGCUCAUGCACGAAAGCGUGGGGAGCAAACAGG
This 429-nucleotide ribosomal RNA is filed under the name uncultured bacterium. RNAcentral describes it as "bacterial SSU rRNA". It matches the Rfam family "Bacterial small subunit ribosomal RNA", at positions 355 to 776 of the family's 1533-position model. The record is from RNAcentral.